This 253-nucleotide ribosomal RNA is filed under the name uncultured bacterium. RNAcentral's name for it is "partial 16S ribosomal RNA". It matches the Rfam family "Bacterial small subunit ribosomal RNA", at positions 524 to 776 of the family's 1533-position model. The record is from RNAcentral.
UACAGAGGUCCCAAGCGUUACUGAGAAUCACUGGGUUUAAAGGGUGCGCAGGUGGUCCGUUAAGUCAGUUGUGAAAUCCCCGGGCUCAACCCGGGAAAUGCUUCUGAUACUGGCGGACUUGAGGCCAGUAGGGGUCACUAGAACUGACGGUGGAGCGGUGAAAUGCGUAGAUAUCGUCAGGAAUGCCGGUGGUGAAGACGGGUGACUGGGCUGGUUCUGACACUGAGGCACGAAAGCGUGGGGAGCGAACGGG